CCUACGGGUGGCAGCAGUGGGGAAUAUUGGACAAUGGGCGAAAGCCUGACCCAGCAACGCCGCGUGAAGGAAGAAGGCUUUCGGGUUGUAAACUUCUUUUGACAGGGACGAAGCAAGUGACGGUACCUGACUAAUAAGCCACGGCUAACUACGUGCCAGCAGCCGCGGUAAUACGUAGGUGGCAAGCGUUAUUCGGAUUUAUUGGGUGUAAAGGGCGUGUAGGCGGGAAUGCAAGUCAGAUGUGAAAACUAUGGGCUUAACCCAUAGAUUGCAUUUGGAACUGUAUUGCUUGAGUGCUGGAGAGGCAAUCGGAAUUCCGUGUGUAGCGGUGAAAUGCGUAGAUAUAAGGAGGAACACCAGUGGCGAAGGCGGAUUUCUGGACAGUAACUGACGCUGAGGCGCGAAAGCGUGGGGAGCAAACAGGAUUAGAUACCCUAGUAGUC
RNAcentral lists this ribosomal RNA (443 nucleotides) under uncultured bacterium. Its description in RNAcentral is "partial 16S ribosomal RNA". It matches the Rfam family "Bacterial small subunit ribosomal RNA", at positions 338 to 795 of the family's 1533-position model. The record is from RNAcentral.